CCUCCCAAUGCUCAUUCAGUGUCUCCUCGUCUAAUGAUACCUUCUUCACUGCCACCAGACUGAUUUUCCUCUCUAGUCAGUCCUCUCACACCUCACCCCUCUGUCGGUUCUUACAUUGGCUAACUGUAUCCUAUAGGAGUCAAUUCAAAGUGCUAACCCAUACCUAUAAAGCACUGAACAAUUCUAGCCCCUCAUAUCUAUUCACAGAUCCAUAAGUAUGCCCCAUCUCGUUCUCUCCGCUCUGCCAGUGACC
Non-coding RNA from Pelobates cultripes (western spadefoot toad), 253 nucleotides. The record is from the annotation of a GenBank genome assembly. Lineage: Eukaryota; Metazoa; Chordata; Amphibia; Anura; Pelobatidae.